Molecule: long non-coding RNA, 301 nt
Filed under: Ananas comosus (pineapple)
Lineage: Eukaryota; Viridiplantae; Streptophyta; Magnoliopsida; Poales; Bromeliaceae
Description: long non-coding RNA (ACOM_LNC024096)
Source: RNAcentral
AAUUUAGAGUAUGUACUUUUGAUGAUGGGUAAUUUGAGUGGUCGUUGGGAGAACCCACUUUGAUUCGGGUAUAAGCAAGAACUAGUUAUUACAGGGAUAGGUACAAGUAUGGGGAUAAGAAAAAUAGCGUUUGGAUGGAAAUUGGGUUGUUCCCGGGGAUAAAAAAAAUAUUAGGAAGUUUUAUAUAAAAAAUGGAGGUGUUGGUGGGGAUAACCGAGAACUACUAUUCUCGACUAAAAAAUUAGUGUUUUGGUAUAAAGAGGGGAUAAGGGCCUAUUCCUAUUCCUAUCUCCUAACCAAA